CGGCGUUCUCCCCUCCUCUGUGUCACGGGGGUGGUGAGAAUGCGUGUGCACUUGCUGGGAAGGCUUGAGAAGGAGGAGCUGCGGCAGACGGGUGUGCACAGAGUGUAAGCGACAGAACCUCCAGGAGAGUGAGCCGGGGCGCCCUUCCUCCCGAGGAGGGGAGAAGCCUGUUUCCGGUGAGUCUGACCUGCCCAGACUGGACAUCACUGAAGAAGACGGAGAGCUGCACACAGGGUCUGAGACCUGCCUGGGAGGCUGUGCCGGCACCAGUGUGGGGAACGUAGGCCGUCCGCUCGCGCUCUGUCCUGCUCUGCCCUGGGCCUCCUGGCCCCGUGCAGCCCCGUGCCCUCUCCUGCUCCCACUCGUGCCUCCGUCUCCACCACACCUUUAGCUCAUUUCCCCAGCUUCCACCCUCCAGCCCUGCCCAGGACGCCUUCCCGCUCGCCCCUCGGCAGGGCAUUUGCACAGACAAGUCUCCACGGCUGCCCAAGCCCUGGCCGCCCCCAGGCUCUCGUGGACCCUGCCCUGAGCCUGCGCCCGGGCAGCCCUCCCACCCAAAUGGUCCAGGACCUCGUGGCGGCUCCAGAGGAACAGGCUGAGGAGAGGGUCAGGCCCUGCGUCUUUCUCCGUCUUGUUUCACACCGACUUCCGGGACUCUGAGACCAAAGGUCUGUGCCAAGCAGAGCCGUCCAGGGAGCCCAGACGAGGGGAUUGAGGAGGCGAGAGAGGGCGUCACGGUGAGAGAGACACACUCCCGUUUUCCUGGGAACUGCUCAGUACGGUGAGGGCAAGUCUGAUGUUGAGUGGAGCCCCCCGCACUCCCUGCAGGACGAGAGCAGGGACUUGGCAGGAAGUGAGCUGAGGCGAGAUUUCCACAGGACUGACUUGCCCCAGAUCAGUUCCUUCUCCCCGAUCAACGCGUCGUUGACGACUCAGCACCCCACCCCAUCCUUCCUGAGAGCAUCUCCUUUCCCACCAUCAUCAUUUAUACUGUGAUUUUGGCUUGAUCCGUGCCGGCAACAGAGGAGAUUUACAGGUUUGAUUUCAACGCGAGGGGCAGAAGCAAGCAGGGGUCUGUGCGGCUUCCUCAGACCCUUCUAACGGGAAGGAAACCCAUCAGGGAUUUUGAAAUAGAACAGCAGUUUCCUUUUCCCUGUGGGAUCUGCAUUAGCAAGUCUGCAAAUGGAAAAUGCAUUCGGAACCGCCAGCGUCCCUUACGGCCCUCAGUGGGGAAGCGGGUGGUGAUCCUGCUGCUAUUUUAAAACUUGUCUCGGGGUCAGGAGCAGCUGAAAUCGUUUGGGGCUUAAUUUUGCAUGAGGAUGUAGCAAAGCGUAAGAGGAGGAGAGAAAGAGAAAAUGCUAGUGACGGAGAAGGGGCCCCGAGAGGGAACCGGAGCCAAGGCUGAGCUCAGAGGGGCAUGGACCACGGAUGUGAGGGGAACAGGGCUGAAGGAUGAAGCCGGGCAGAGGCGGCCGGACGGGAGCGGGUGUGCGUGUGGACACAGCCAGCUCUCAGGCUCUGGGGUGUGCUGUCCCAAGAGAGAGCUGCCGGACAGGCUGGGAGGGGAAGCUGCCUGGACGCCUGACCGAACAGAGGCCGAGGGAGCGUGAGGAACCUCAGGCCACAAUUACAGCCUCUGGGCCCAGCUCGGAAGUGGCCUCGAAGAGGGGCUCCUCUGCUGGGCGCCAGCUGCCCCGAGCGUGACCUUAAGGCCUCGUGGCUUUGCACACAGCCAGGCGCUGCCCACCCGUCCCUUCCCUCCUCAUGGUGUGGAGGGGGUCCAGACAGCGCUGCUCUCCCCGCAGCUCAGAUGAGGAGCCGAAGGAGUGAGACAGAAAGCAUGAAACCAUCACACACAGAAGGGGCCACAGAGCGACGGGUCGGGUGCCCCUCAGCCGGGAGCUUCUGUUCUGCUGUGGGAGGAGCCUGAGCUCCCGAGCGAUGGCCAAGCCCCAGCUCCGUCCGUCUGAAUCCCAGCUUGUCCCUCGGAGUCGGACCUGGAUGGAAGGGUCAGAAUGCACGGCCUGCGGGGGCCACGGGCAGGCAGCCGUGAGUCCACCCCACCCCCUGUUUCUUUCUGUCUUCUGUACCCCUGAGAACUUUCCGUUCAGUUCGCACGGUGUCUCCAGAUCCCUGGGGUUUCUGAGUGAGCUGAGCAUGGCCAGGCGCUGGGUCAGCCCCGGGGCUCUGCUGCCCCAGAUGCCAAGUCAUCGCUGCUCAGUCCCGCCCUUGACGUCCCUUCUUGUGGCUUCUCACUCUCAUCCCCCUCUGCCCCUGCAGAUGGAAGUCCAGCCACAGACCUGCCCCAGCAGGAGCCGGGGUUGGGGCGUCUGGGGCAGAGGCCUGAAGGGCAGAAGCUCGCCAGGGUGGGAGGGUUGGUCGUCCACCAGCAAUGGUGGGCUGCCCCUGCCCGAGGGGGGCGUGUCUGUCUGUGUCUGUGGGUGUCUCUGUAUCUCUCUGUCUGUCUUGUCUCUGUGCAUGUCUGUGUGCCUCCGUGUCCGUGUGUCUGUCUCUUUGUGUCUACCAGCUCACAGGACGGUCAGAAGCCACAGCCCACGCCCUUCUCCAUCUGGCCUUCUGUCGGGGCCACGGGGAGGUCAGUGUCCUGGAAAACGAGCCCCAUGGAAGCCCUGACUCACAGCCACUUCCUCCUGCCCCCCGCCCGCCCCCACGGCUGGGCACACGGGCGCCCACAGCCCAGGCCCACAGCCCUGACUCACCACCACGCGGCUCUAACUGGACGGCUUCCUGGGAAGGGCAGCUGAGGACACGGAGGCACCGCGAGGAGGCGGCCCCUCUGGCCCCGCGUGCAGCUGUGGGGCCGGCGGCUCUUGCUCUCCGGGCCAGCGCUGGCCGGACCCCGGGAAGCCCGUCCUGCCCGACGCCCAGACGGGGCGCGUGAGGCUGGGGGGUGGGUCUCGCGCGUCCCUGACAGACCGUGUUUCUCUGCUGAGACGUGCCCUUCAUGCCUCCCGCCAGCUUCCUCUUGGUGUCUUUUUCCCGUUCUGAUUCGUAGAGACUUUCACACACCCCCAACGCUGACCCUCUGGCAGUUACGUCCCUAGUGAGCAGCUUCUCAUUUUACUUCUCUCUCACUUUCUUUAAGGUGAUUGUGACUAACAGAUUUUUAAAGUACUCAGACUCAUCAGGCUCUCGUUUUGUAGCGUUUUAAAGAGAUCCCCACCCCAAGGUCACAAACACCCACCGACACUUCCCAGGCAGUGUCUGUGAGAACAGCUGUGCGUUCAAGCCCGGGGUCCAGCUGCAGCUGACGCGCCUGCUGGGAGCCAGGAUCCAAUUUCCUUCCCACGAGGAAACCGUCUCCACACCUGGCGGCUGCUCUGCUCUUGCAGAAGGAAAACCCCACAGGAGGACAUGCCGUCGGAUCCCACCACGUCCUGGAGAAGGAUGGAUGGCUCCCAGCCAGUUGUCCUCCUGGGCGGGGCCGCUUGUGGGACGUGUGCCGUCAUCCAGAGUGGACUCAGCACAGUGCUGACUGCAGCCACUGAGCUGAAGGACAGACACGAGGGCCCGGCCCCCGGCCCUGAGUGGGCUGUUUCCACCACAGCUAAACGCCACGGACCCCGCUCAGGGGUUUCCUGUUGCCUUUCACUGAGAAGAGCCCAGGCGGGUCUCCGGCCACCGCACAGGACCUUCCAACCGUCAAAGCUGGUGUGACGAGGCCGGAGAGGAGGACACUGGUGGACGCCCCUAAUCAGCUCAGCAAGGAAACAGCCCGGAUCUUUGGGAUCUGAAAGCACCGAGGGCUCGCCUCGGCUGAGUGUGGGCCCCUGAAGACCUGGCACAAGUGUGACGUGAUCUGCUGACAGCCCAGGAAACCAGAAAGCAAACGGGGCUGCAGCUUUGUGCUUCUUUGGACUCAGCUGUCUGGACAGGCUGUACCCUCGCGGCCGAGAGAAGAUGUCUUCACGACGGGUUGGACGCGAGCUCAGCACCCGGGUCUGGGAAUCUCAUCUCCGGAGGAGCGGACUCUCUGGAACGAACUUCGUGCGGCUGCCUCUCCCUCUGCUGUUUCACGAACGCGUCCUCAGUUCCUCGUUACUCUCUGGAGUCCCCGGUCUACUCGUAGCAUCUGCCUCUCCUGGAACUCUGCUUUCUCUGACGCCCUGAGCCUGUUUCUUCAUGUCCACUGACUGCCGCAUUUCAGUCAACCGAGGAGAUGCUGGAAAGGAACACGCCCACACCGUCCGCCGUCUUGAACUGCAGACUUGACGCUCAACCAGCCGCCACUGAUCACAUUUGCAUCACAACCCAAUGAUCCCAACCACCGGCCUGGACCCGUUUCCUUAGAGCCAGAAAGACAGAUGCCAACACCGUGCCAGCCACCUCGGGCCAGGGCCCUCUGGGUGAUUUAAUACUGAUGUUCACGACUUGUGUUCUGGGGUCUCUGCACUGAGCACAGACUGUGUUUGAAGUUGAAAGGAAGGCAGGCAAAUAAGAAAAGAAAGAAAGAGAGAAAGAGAGAGGGAGGUGGUGGGGGAGGAAUUGAGGCCUCCUCACCUCACACCCGCGAGCGUGGCCACAAUGAGAAACACUCACAGAAAACACGCGUCAGUGAGGACGCAGAGAAGCUGGGACUUGUGCACUGCUGCUGGGAUGCUAACGAUGCAGCCGCCGUGGAGCACACUCUGGCACGUCCUCAAGGCUUAUCGACAGGCUGUCAUGUGAUGCGGCCGCCCCACUGUGCACUGAAGGAACCGAGGCCGGGUCUUGCAGAGGUGUCUGCACACCCGUGUUCACAGCAGCGUGAUUCACAAGAGCCCCAGGGUCCAUCAGCGAAUGAAGGGAUAAGUGGAACGCGGCCCAUCCACAGGGGAGCAUCAUUCAGCCCCAGAAAGGAAGGACGCCUGUUACAACACGGACAGAGCUUGCGGGCAUCGUGCUGAGGGAAAUCAGCCACAAAAGGGCAGGCACUGUGUGAUCCCACUCACGUGAGGCCCCUGGAGUUGACAGAUUCAUAGAGACAGAAAGUAGACGGUGGGGCCAGGGGCUGUGGGGGGGGAGUCAGUGUUUAAUGGGGACCGAGUCUCAGUUUGGGAAGAUGAGAAAGUCCUGGAGACAGAUGGUGUGACGGCUGCACAACAUUGUGAAUGUGCUCAAUGCCCCUAAACAGUGCACUAAAAAAUGGCUAACUAAUAAAUUUUAUGUUGUGUUUUUUACCACAGUUUUAAAAAUAAAAACUGUGGUAAGUUAAAAAAAAAAAAAAAGCUGCUACAAAAUGAUACAUAAAGCUUGAAAACCAAUCUUUAUAUUACGCAUGUACCUUAAUGGUGUCAAACGUGCCUCCUCUGUAAAGACACCACAUUUGGGACGUGGGCAAAGGGAGGUCAGUGAAGAAGGCUCCAGGGACGAGGGUGUCAGCUGUGCCCACAGUGCCCAGUGCCCCGUGCUGUGUCCUCUCCACCCACCCGUCCUGGGCCAUCAGCUCAGAAGCAGCCCUCACCCCACGCUGGGGCCCAGGGGGAGCAGGAAGGAGGGCACAGGGCCCGGGCUCAGCUGAGGGCGUCACUCGACCGUGUCUGUGCCAGCUUGAGGCAGAGGCCCCGUCAAGGUGUGGGCAGAGAUGCCUGUCUCCCAAACGGCGCCCCCAACUCCUUCCAGAGCUCGGAGCUCAGACGAACCUGGAGGGUGUGGGCAACGCACUUAUGCGGGGGGAGGCUCGGACGCGUUCUGGGGUGAAACCCAGCGAAAAUGCUCCCCUUGUUCUCCACGCCGUCCCGGCCUGACAGACGGGCUCGCUGUCACGGCCUCCUGGUUCCAGGAACUCGGGCAAAUUCUCCCUCUGGUUCCCCAUUCGUGAGGCGGGAGGACCCCGGGGGGUCCCACUGCCUCCUGUAGUAGAAAGAUGAACACAGGCACUGGACUCGCGCCAUCAACGAGACCUGCAGCGUUGACACGGUCAGACUCCAGUUGGCUCUGUCUUCAGUUCCGCCAGCCCGCGAGGUUGGAACAAUGAAUCCGAGAGGCCGCGAGUGGAGCCGAAAGGACGGGGGCCCACCAUAAUGGGCACAGACAUCUUUCCGGAUUCUUCACAAGAGGGAAUGGCAGGGCCUGAGCCCCCCACUGCUGGGAGAGGCUGACAGGCCAUACACCCCUGAGAUGACGGCUCCCGCCAGGCAUUGAGGACCGAGGCUCCAGCAGGGCUCCUGGCUGUGCAUCACAGGUGAGCAGCGAGUGUGCUGGGAACCUUCCAGCGGGAGACGGCCCUUCACGGCUCAGCACCCCUCAGCCCUGUGCAGAAAGUACCCGAACACGUGGGCAUCAGGCAUCUGCGGUUCUCACUGCCCCUCCUGCCUCAGGGGCAGCAGAAGGAGAGACUCACACGCGUGGGGCAGCCCCAAGCCUGGCAGCCGUCCCGCAGUCUGCGCCAAACAGGCGGGGCCUUUUCCAAGACGGGAUGAAGAGCUGGGAGCUGCCCCUCGCGGGCCCGUCCCUCAUCUGCUCAGUGGAAUUCUGCCCCCUGCUCUCCAGGUCAACUUGCCCGGUGCUCUCUCCCCACGUCCAGGUCGGCUGGCUGACCAGCCUUCACCCCCUGCCCUGAGGGGCCUGGGGGCUGGUGGCUGCCCAGCUUUGGUUCACCGCCUGCUGUCUCUGUGCUCAUUCAUCUUCCAGGCCCUGCACCAUGGGUGGAACUACGAGGCCGUCUGGCCCUGGAGCUCUCACAGGGUGGCUAGGGAUGUGGACCAGGAGCAGCCCAAGGCAGCCCAGAUGGGUGCCAGGCUCUGGUACUGGGAGGAGAGACUCCAAUACUGGAGGCAUCGGGAGGACUUCCUGGAGGAGGCGGCUUGCGAAGGCCGAGUUAGGGUGAGGAGGAAGACGAGCCUGCUCCCGGACACACACGACGAAGAGCCAUGACCAUGACCAGGCUUGUGUAGCAGACAACCGGGCGAGAGAGCUGGCCUGCCCUCUAGGGACCAUCCUGGGCCUCUCCAAGCCUCGGCCAUCUCGUCUGUGAGGUGGGGACACCCGUACACCUCAUGGCAAUGCUGGGGGCAAAGCCCACAAGAGCCCCAGGGCCCUGCGGUCCCUGAGGACUCGCGCCACAACGGUCGCCCGUAAAUGGCAGAUGGUGGCUCUGGGCCGGCUCCAGGGAUGGCCUGUGCUUGCAGUGAGAGUGGACAUUGCAAUGGGCUCCUCUGCUCAUCAGAAUCCCAAAGUCCUCAGUGGUAGCUGACCCCACACCAUCCCACGCGCCCCAAUAAUAAGCUCUCCCUAAACUUCAGCGGGAGCCAUCUCUGUGCCGCAGCUUCUCCAAGACACCACGGACCGGGCAGCUCACACACGGACACUCGCUUCUCUCCAUCCUGAGGCUGGACGUCCAGGAUCACGGUGCCAGCAGGCCCCGUUCUGGUGAGGCCUGCGUCCUGGGCAGCUUAGCAGGGCCGCGGUCCAGAAGGGGCGCUGGUGAGCUGAGCAGAGGUGCAGCCGACAGUAGCUGGCUCUGGGCUGUGCGCAGCCCUGACACCUGGGGAGGUGGCAGAAGCCAGGAUGCAAAACAACAAAAAUCCAUUUUCAUUUUCCGUUGGCAUUUACUUCUGGAACGCCUCACACGGCAGCUUAGGAGCGUGUGGAACUCCAGCUGCCCUUGUCUCCUGCUGCCCAUGAUUCCCUCUAUAUCCCCAAGAGGGAGUCCAGAAACGUGUGCUGAGCUAACCUCCGGACCCGGGUGCCUUAGGUUAGAAUCCAGCUCUGAACCAGCCAGGCAUCCUUGGGCAAUUCUCCUACCCCGUCUCCACGUGAGUUUCCUCCAGAAUAAACUGGGUUAUAGGGGGCGUGUCUGAAGCCCAGCGCAUUCUGAGCCUCCCUCAGUGGAUGUCAGGCACUGUGAUACGGACAUCAGGUGGGAGAUGCUGGCCAUUAACCCGAGAGCCAGUUAAAUUUCUUCCCAUCAAGGAGCUUAGACACAGGUUCUAAGUCUGAUGAAAACGGCAAGGCUCCAGUUCAAUGAUGACAACUGGAGACGUCCAGAACUUCCACUGAUGCACAGAACAGCUGGGCAGAGAAUCAACAAGGAAAGCAAGCUCUGAACAGCACGCUCAGCCAGUUGGACCCAGCGCACGUCUGCAGAACUCUCCAGCCGACACAGAUACACAGUCUUCUCAAGGGCAUGUGGAAUGUCCUCCAGGACAGGCCAUAUGUUAGGCCACAUAAUAAGUUUCAAUAAAUUUAAAAGGAUCGCAAUCAUACAAGAUAGGUUCUACAACCAUAAUAGAAUUAAAUUAGAAAACAGGAACAGAAGGAAAUUUGAGAAAUUCACAAACGUGGAAAUUAAACAACAUGGUCCUAUUGAAUCAACGGAUCAGACAAGACGUCACAAAGGAAACUAGAAAAUACUUUGAGAUGAAAGACUUUACAAAAAACUGAAGAGCAAUAUCCCCUUGAGCAUACGGAAGCAAAAUUAAUUAAUUGUGAUGAACGGGCCAUAACGUAAGAUGCUCGUAACAGGGAAACUGGGGGUGAAGUACAUGGGAGCUCUGUGCUACCGUCACGAUUUUCUGUAAAUCUAAAACUAUUCAAAAUUAAAAUCUUAUUAAACAGCUUUUUAAAAAUAAAGGCAGGGCUCCAUGAAUGUCUAUAAACCUCAUGAAAAUGCAUUCAUUAACCAUCAGAGGAAAGCACCCCACAAGCUCAUACACACACACGUGCACACACACGCAUACACAUGUGCAUAAACACACACACACACACACCC
Molecule: long non-coding RNA, 8713 nt
Filed under: Equus caballus (horse)
Lineage: Eukaryota; Metazoa; Chordata; Mammalia; Perissodactyla; Equidae
Description: lncRNA (ENSECAG00000048646.1)
Source: RNAcentral